GCAGUCGAGCGGACAGAUGGGAGCUUGCUCCCUGAUGUUAGCGGCGGACGGGUGAGUAACACGUGGGUAACCUGCCUGUAAGACUGGGAUAACUCCGGGAAACCGGGGCUAAUACCGGAUGCUUGUUUGAACCGCAUGGUUCAAACAUAAAAGGUGGCUUCGGCUACCACUUACAGAUGGACCCGCGGCGCAUUAGCUAGUUGGUGAGGUAACGGCUCACCAAGGCAACGAUGCGUAGCCGACCUGAGAGGGUGAUCGGCCACACUGGGACUGAGACACGGCCCAGACUCCUACGGGAGGCAGCAGUAGGGAAUCUUCCGCAAUGGACGAAAGUCUGACGGAGCAACGCCGCGUGAGUGAUGAAGGUUUUCGGAUCGUAAAGCUCUGUUGUUAGGGAAGAACAAGUACCGUUCGAAUAGGGCGGUACCUUGACGGUACCUAACCAGAAAGCCACGGCUAACUACGUGCCAGCAGCCGCGGUAAUACGUAGGUGGCAAGCGUUGUCCGGAAUUAUUGGGCGUAAAGGGCUCGCAGGCGGUUCCUUAAGUCUGAUGUGAAAGCCCCCGGCUCAACCGGGGAGGGUCAUUGGAAACUGGGGAACUUGAGU
Molecule: ribosomal RNA, 607 nt
Filed under: Bacillus sp. FJAT-4465
Lineage: Bacteria; Bacillati; Bacillota; Bacilli; Caryophanales; Bacillaceae
Description: bacterial SSU rRNA
Rfam family: Bacterial small subunit ribosomal RNA
Source: RNAcentral